CAGGUUUUCUUAUUGGCCUAAAGCUUACCUUGUAAGCUAGGCUGGCUGUCCAGUGAGCCACAGCCACCCUCCUUGAGUCUGAUUACCUCGCUCGUCUCCUCCAUGGUAACCUGUGAUACUACCCCAACAGAGACACUGGGAUGUGCAUAUCCCUUGAGAUUCCUGGUAAACGUCCAGCCCAAACUUUAUUCCUCUGUUUGAGACUAUGCCAGGCAGACCAUAAAUGUCACAGCUCCUGGGGAUUCCAUUGGGUCUCCUUGGAACAAAUCUUUGUCCUCGUUCCCAGCUGAAAGGUGACCUCCGGCGUGAAACUGGAUGAGUAUCUGCUUGUUUAUCUGCAAAAGGGGAGUCAUGAGGUCCCUACACCAUCACACGCUGUGAGGAUGAAAUGGAGUUGGCACAAGGCACCUAACUGCAGGCUUACCUAUGCUGUUCUUACCAUCAUCGUAUCCAGUAGUAAGAUGACUCCCAAGUCACCCUCCCACUCAGGAGAGCUUGCCACCUGCCAAUCGCAGGCAUCGCCGCGUUUUUCAGCUUUUUUGCAAUCAAUCUCAGGGACAGCUCCAGUGGACUUUGGCAUACACGUGGAUCUUCUUCUAUUUCCCAACUUUAACUUACUGUCUCAUUUCAAGAACUCUCUCCCUUCAGUUCCCCCUCCAUAAAUGAAGGAAAGGAUAAAAGAUUGAACCUCAGAAAAACACAAUGCCAGAAGACACAAUGUUUGGACCUUUUAACUCUGUUUUUACAU
Long non-coding RNA from Mus musculus (house mouse), 748 nucleotides. RefSeq annotates it as predicted gene, 32191. The transcript has 4 exons. The record is from RefSeq and is a predicted model, not a curated record. Lineage: Eukaryota; Metazoa; Chordata; Mammalia; Rodentia; Muridae.